This 253-nucleotide ribosomal RNA is filed under the name uncultured bacterium. RNAcentral describes it as "partial 16S ribosomal RNA". It matches the Rfam family "Bacterial small subunit ribosomal RNA", at positions 524 to 776 of the family's 1533-position model. The record is from RNAcentral.
UACGUAGGGUGCGAGCGUUGUCCGGAAUUAUUGGGCGUAAAGAGCUUGUAGGCGGUUUGUCGCGUCUGCCGUGAAAAUCCGGGGCUCAACCCCGGACUUGCGGUGGGUACGGGCAGACUAGAGUGUGGUAGGGGAGACUGGAAUUCCCGGUGUAGCGGUGAAAUGUGUAGAGAUCGGGAGGAACACCGGUGGCGAAGGCGGGUCUCUGGGCAUCUCCUGACGCUGAGGCGCGAAAGCGUGGGGAGCAAACGGG